AUGGGGAACUGCAUGAAGUCCACGGCCCGGGUGGAUCACAGCAUGAACACUAGUGCCGCCUAUCCAUCGAAAGUGACCAGCAAAACAAGCAUGUCAUCUGCUACUUCUGCGAGCAAGACCAACUCAACUCGUUCAACGUUUACUCUGCCAUCUAUAAGAGAUCGCAGUGAGCCUCCCCGGACAGAAGGUGAAAUCUUGUCAUCGUCGAACUUGAAGGCCUUCUUGUUCAAUGAUCUUAAAAAUGCGACCAAGAAUUUCCGCCCGGACAGUCUUCUUGGGGAAGGAGGGUUUGGGCAUGUUUUCAAAGGUUGGAUUGAUGAACACACUCUUGCUCCUUCGAAACCGGGAAGCGGUAUGGUUGUUGCUGUCAAGAAGCUUAAACCAGAAGGUUUCCAAGGGCACAAGGAAUGGCUGACGGAGGUUAACUACCUUGGCCAACUUCACCAUGCCAAUCUUGUUAAGCUCAUUGGUUAUUGCUCUGAUGGUGAUAACAGACUUCUGGUGUAUGAGUUCAUGCCCAAGGGAAGUUUGGAGAAUCAUCUGUUCAGAAGAGGUGCUGAUCCUUUGUCAUGGGGAAUAAGGCUUAAGGUUGCUAUCGGGGCUGCUAAGGGUUUGUCAUUUUUACAUCAUGCUGAAAACCAAGUUAUAUAUCGUGAUUUCAAGGCAUCAAACAUUCUUCUUGACUCGGAAUUCAACGCGAAGCUUUCAGAUUUUGGAUUAGCGAAAGCUGGUCCAACUGGGGAUAAAACUCAUGUUUCCACACAAGUGAUGGGCACCCAUGGAUAUGCUGCUCCAGAGUAUAUCGCAACAGGUCGCCUCUCUGCUAAGGCAGACGUCUACAGCUUCGGGGUGGUGUUGCUUGAGUUGCUGACCGGGAGACGAGCCCUGGACAAGUCAAAGCCAGGCAUAGAGCAGAACCUAGUGGACUGGGCCAAACCGCACCUGCGUGACAAGCGCAGGCUGUACCGUGUCAUGGACACGAAGCUGGGAGGCCAGUAUCCUAAGAAAGGCGCACAUGCCGUCGCGAACCUCGCCUUGCAAUGCAUCUGCAACGACGCCAAGAUGCGGCCGCAGAUCUCAGAGGUCUUAGAAGAGCUGGAGCAGCUCCAAGACUCUAAAAGCAAUUUAAUGUCGCCGCAGGUUGACAUCCGGAGGACCUCCAAUACCGUCCCAAAGUCGCCAAUGAGGGGCCAACCCUCGCCGCGGCGCUCUCUUGGAGCGAUGGCGCCGCCGUCACCGGCAUUUAGGACCGCGCAAGUGCACUAG
Molecule: ribosomal RNA, 1266 nt
Filed under: Triticum aestivum (bread wheat)
Lineage: Eukaryota; Viridiplantae; Streptophyta; Magnoliopsida; Poales; Poaceae
Description: partial small subunit ribosomal RNA
Source: RNAcentral